CCGCGGGAUUAGAGUUUGAUCCUGGCUCAGAACGAACGCUGGCGGCAGGCUUAACACAUGCAAGUCGAACGCUCGUAGCAAUACGGGAGUGGCAGACGGGUGAGUAACGCGUGGGAACAUACCCUCCGGUUCGGAAUAGCUCAGGGAAACUUGGAUUAAUACCGGACACGGCUGAGAGGCGAAAGAUUUAUCGCCGGAGGAUUGGCCCGCGUUCGAUUAGCUUGUUGGUGAGGUAACGGCUCACCAAGGCGAUGAUCGAUAGCUGGUCUGAGAGGAUGAUCAGCCACAUUGGGACUGAGACACGGCCCAAACUCCUACGGGAGGCAGCAGUGGGGAAUAUUGGACAAUGGGCGCAAGCCUGAUCCAGCCAUGCCGCGUGAGUGAUGACGGCCUUAGGGUUGUAAAGCUCUUUCGCUCGGGACGAUAAUGACGGUACCGAGAUAAGAAGCCCCGGCUAACUUCGUGCCAGCAGCCGCGGUAAUACGAAGGGGGCUAGCGUUGUUCGGAAUUACUGGGCGUAAAGCGCGUGUAGGCGGGUCUUUAAGUCAGGGGUGAAAUGCCAAGGCUCAACCUUGGAACUGCCUUUGAUACUGGGGAUCUUGAGUCCGAGAGAGGUGAGUGGAAUUGCGAGUGUAGAGGUGAAAUUCGUAGAUAUUCGCAAGAACACCAGUGGCGAAGGCGGCUCACUGGCUCGGAACUGACGCUGAGACGCGAAAGCGUGGGGAGCAAACAGGAUUAGAUACCCUGGUAGUCCACGCUGUAAACGAUGGAUGCUAGCCGUUGGGGAGCUUGCUCUUCAGUGGCGCAGCUAACGCUUUAAGCAUCCCGCCUGGGGAGUACGGUCGCA
Molecule: ribosomal RNA, 847 nt
Filed under: uncultured Alphaproteobacteria bacterium
Lineage: Bacteria; Pseudomonadati; Pseudomonadota; Alphaproteobacteria
Description: bacterial SSU rRNA
Rfam family: Bacterial small subunit ribosomal RNA
Source: RNAcentral